AGCAGCCGCGGUAAUUCCAGCUCCAAUAGCGUAUAUUAAAGUUGUUGCAGUUAAAAAGCUCGUAGUUGAAUUUCGGGAUCAGUACGCUGGUCGUGCCUUUGGUAUGUACUGGUGUCACUGAUUCCUCCCUUCUGAAGAACCGUUAUGCCAUUUAUUUGGUGUGGCGGGAAAUCAGGACUGUUACUUUGAAAAAAUUAGAGUGUUUAAAGCAGGCUCGCGCUUGAAUACAUUAGCAUGGAAUAAUGAAAUAGGACGUUUGAUCUUAUUUUGUUGGUUUCUAGGAUCGACGUAAUGAUUAAUAGGGAUAGUUGGGGGCAUUAGUAUUCAAUUGUCAGAGGUGAAAUUCUUGGAUUUAUUGAAGACUAACUACUGCGAAAGCAUUUGCCAAGGAUGUUUUCAUUAAUCAAGAACGAAAGUUAGGGGGUCGAAGACGAUCAGAUACCGUCGUAGUCUUAACCAUAAACUAUGCCGACUAGGGAUCGGAUGAUGUUAAUUUUUAAUGACUCAUUCGGCGCCUUAA
Molecule: ribosomal RNA, 520 nt
Filed under: uncultured Glomus
Lineage: Eukaryota; Fungi; Glomeromycota; Glomeromycetes; Glomerales; Glomeraceae
Description: SSU rRNA
Rfam family: Eukaryotic small subunit ribosomal RNA
Source: RNAcentral